This is a non-coding RNA of Myotis daubentonii (Daubenton's bat), 458 nucleotides long. The record is from the annotation of a RefSeq genome assembly. Lineage: Eukaryota; Metazoa; Chordata; Mammalia; Chiroptera; Vespertilionidae.
UCAGAAGGCAGAACUUUUGGGGCAUCUCUGCCAUGGCCUGGGCUCUGCUCCUCCUCACUCUCCUCUCUCAGGGGACAGGGUCCUGGGCCCAGGCUGCCCUCACUCAGCUGCCGUCCGUGUCCGGGAAUCUGGGACAGUCGGUCACCAUCUCCUGUGUCGGAAGCAGCAAUGACAUUGGGCGUUAUAACUACGUCUCCUGGUACCAACAGCGCCCGGGCACGGCCCCCAAACUCCUGAUUUCCUACGUGAAUGCUCGGCGCUCGGGGGUCCCCGAGCGCUUCUCUGGCUUCAAGUCCAGCAACACGGCCUUCCUCCUCAUCUCCGGGCUGCAGGCCGAGGACGAGGCCGAUUAUCACUGCUGCUCCUAUGUGGGCAGCAACACUCCCCACGGCGCUGCGGGCUCAUGGGGAAGUGAGACCAAAACCCGCCCGGGCUCCCAGGCGCCCUCCUUGCUCUGA